AACGAACGCUGGCGGCAGGCCUAACACAUGCAAGUCGAACGAGAAGCUUUCCUUCGGGAAAGUGGAAAGUGGCAGACGGGUGAGUAACGCGUGGGAACGUGCCUCUCGGUUCGGAAUAACUCAGGGAAACUUGGGCUAAUACCGAAUACGCCCUUCGGGGGAAAGAUUUAUCGCCUUUGGAUGGGCCCGCGUUGGAUUAGCUUGUUGGUGGGGUAAAAGCCUACCAAGGCGACGAUCCAUAGCUGGUCUGAGAGGAUGAUCAGCCACACUGGGACUGAGACACGGCCCAGACUCCUACGGGAGGCAGCAGUGGGGAAUAUUGGACAAUGGGCGCAAGCCUGAUCCAGCAAUGCCGCGUGAGUGAUGAAGGCCUUAGGGUUGUAAAGCUCUUUUACUAGGGAUGAUAAUGACAGUACCUAGAGAAUAAGCUCCGGCUAACUCCGUG
This 445-nucleotide ribosomal RNA is filed under the name uncultured bacterium. RNAcentral describes it as "bacterial SSU rRNA". It matches the Rfam family "Bacterial small subunit ribosomal RNA", at positions 29 to 507 of the family's 1533-position model. The record is from RNAcentral.